AAGGUGCAAGAUCGGUCUUAGAUGCAAGUUCAACCAUCCAAAAGAUAAAGUUGAAGUUCUAAAUGCAUCUGUAGGUGGUACUUAUGCAGAAGUUAUUGGAUCCACUUCAUUCUUGCCCCUAUGAGAAUUUUGACACUUCCUCUAAUAUAUGGAUCAUGCGAUAGCAGGUUGCAUCAGAAACUGCUGAUGCUUCAGAAGUUCUAAAUCUGUUGAUUCAAAUUUAUUUUUCUAUUGACUCGGAACUCAAGAGUCCAAUUGUAUUGAAUCACCAGUUGAUUUUGAAUUUAUUUUUCUUCAACUUUGAUUUGCACUAUGUAGGUGCAUAAUCGUAUCAUUUGCUUUUUCGAAAUAUUGAGAAUGCAUGUAUGUAAAUGCUUGUUUUGGAAAUUGUUGAAUAAUUGAUCUUAAAUCAGUGUACUGAAACAAAUCUGUCCUAGUUAGCAUCAUUUCAUCAUCCAUAAGUAGUGUUCUUGUUUUUUACUAUUCCAUUAGGAUAGCCAUCCAGAUAGUGGCCCGUUGUUCUUUGUGAAGCCCACCCGAAGUACAUGGCUAUAUAUUUCCUUUUGGCAAUAAAAUACAGGUCGGGUGAUUCCACUGGUUUGCUUUUAAAAAAAAAAAAGAGUUGCUGAAAUUGGUUUAGUCUAUAUGCAUGUUCUGCUUUUUAGUCACUUGGUGAGAUGUUUCUUCUUGAUAGUUGGCUUGAGGUCACUGAUGAACGACUUAGUUACUAGCAAUUCACACAAAACUUUCAUAAAAGGUAUUGUUCUUUGUGCUUCUAUAAUUUCAUUAUGGUUUACUUCCAUCUUUUAUUUCAUUUACUGUUGGAACAUGCCUUGAGGAAUCAGACACCAUACUUGCCAUGUUUAUGAUUUGCCUUGUAAUCUGGACCAUUCACCAUGCAGUGCUCGUCAUAGAUGAAAGUUUCAAGAUUGAUGAAAUGUUGAAAUCCUUGCUUGGGUUGUCAGGAUUUUACUUCAAUUUGGGGAUUUUGUACUUCAAGUGCUUAUUUGGAUGCACCAUUGCAACAAUACCACUUUGAAGUUUGCAUCUUCAAGAAGACAAAUCAGUUGGAUGUUCAGCUGAAAGCAGUGCAGUUGCUUGGGUGUAGUUUGGUUCAUGGAAUAUAUGGGCAUGCAUCAGCAUGGUUGCAAAAUGGUAGUGGUUCAUGCAAAAUCGUUCAUCCCCAAACACUCAUCUCUCUCUCUUCCAGAAAGCAACACAGAGGGACGGAGAGAGUUAAGGAUUUCUUCAACUACUACAGGCUGAUGUAAGCUUAGCAUGAAUGCACUCACUUGGACAAAAAUCUUAUUCUGGUCUUGACUGUUGUUCAGCAUGGUGUGUGGGUCAACAUGGGAUCUGAUCUGUUAAAUAGAGAAUUUCUGUGUUGGCAAUCUUCUGAAGAUGGUUGUGGUGUUGGCUCUCUUUUACAUUGGUAAGUUUUAAACGGUUGAUAAGAAGCAAACUGCUGCUAAUCAUGCAAGUUUUAGAAAAUUCUGAUGCAUAAUGUUGGGUGUUAUCCACUGCUAAUCAUACAUUGGUGUUGGCUUUCUUUUACUGCUCAAACUGCGAACCUAUUGGAAGGAUUGGGUGUCACAAGAACUUAAUAGGUUGGACGUUAUCCACUGUAGCAUGCACUGAUUAAUGUUACUUGAUGUCCAAAUCUUAUGCUUACAAUGCUUAGAAGAUUACUGACAUAAACAUCGUACCCCCGGUACGCAUAAAUCCUUUUGUAUUAUGAGAAUAAUACUUUUCGACAACUGCGAGUUUGUAUUUUAUCUAAUGAUCUUUCAACUACUACAGGCUGAUGGUACAAGCUUGCAUGAAUCUCCGAUCUAUUUGGCUACUGUUCUUUAGUACUUGGCAGCUGAGGUUUUGGAGCUGGCUGGGAAUGCUGCUAGAGACAAUAAGAAGUCUCGCAUCAUUCCAAGGCAUGUUCUUUUGGCUGUCAUAAAUAAUGAGGAGCUUAGGAAAUUGCUAGCUGGUGUGACAAUUUCAAGUGGUGGUGUUUUGCCAAACAUGAACUCUUUCUCUUGCCUAAGAAGUCUGAGGAAGCUUCAAAAUCUCCAAAAAAAGGAUUGAUUGGGUUGGGAUGAAUGCUUAGGCCCCACUAUGUAAUUCUUAUUUAAUGGAUUUUUUGGGCAUUUCUUCAAAUUUGUAAUUUUGGUUUUGGUGUUGGGAUGGUCACUGCUGCUUUCUUUUCUUUUUCUAUAUUUUGUAAAUAGAGUAAUCUUACUGUUGAGGUUUA
Magnolia sinica is the source of this 2245-nucleotide long non-coding RNA. RefSeq lists it as uncharacterized. The transcript has 4 exons. The record is from RefSeq and is a predicted model, not a curated record. Lineage: Eukaryota; Viridiplantae; Streptophyta; Magnoliopsida; Magnoliales; Magnoliaceae.